Molecule: long non-coding RNA, 1914 nt
Organism: Myotis brandtii (Brandt's bat)
Lineage: Eukaryota; Metazoa; Chordata; Mammalia; Chiroptera; Vespertilionidae
Exons: 2
Source: RefSeq, a predicted model, not a curated record
UCCUCGGGUGAGGAUUAACAACAACAAAAAAAAAACAGAACAAACCAAAAAAAAUUGUAGAAAGAAAACUAUAAAUGUCCUCAGAAAAAUAACCAGAAGAAUAUACAUUAAAAUGUUCAUAGCAAAUGUCCCCAAAGGAAAAUGUACAGAUUAUACUACACCUAAACAACAAUAAUAUGGAUGGAUUUUACUUUUGUAAUGUUAAAUUAAAAGAUCAAGUACCAGAAGACUAUGUAUAACUAGAUAUCCUUUAUAUCUUAUUUAAAAACAAGUAAAACUAAUAACUAUAGGGUGUCCCAAAAAUGUAUACACAUACUUUGAAUAAUUAUAAAGGCAGUGUUUAUUAAAAUGCAUUUCAUUUUCAAAAUCGAGCUAUCAGCUGUUAUAGUGUCUAUACACUUUUUGGGAUGUGCUGUAUAUUAUUUAGGCAUACAUAUAUAUUUUGGAUUAAAAUAUAUUAUUUAAAAAGCCAAGGAAUAUCAAUAAAAAGUUAGGAUAGUGGUCUUUGGAGUUGAGGAAAUGGGGCCGCAGUAGGAGAGGAUCAUAGAAGUGGAUUGAAGUUAUUGUCAGUAUUCUAGUGCUCAGGUUCAAUGGGUGAGUGUUCAUUAUGUAAUUAAAAGCAUACUAUUGACUUUAAUAAUUGUAUGAUUAUAAUGAAAAUUAAAUAAAGGACAAGUUAAUGCAUAAAAAAUAAAAGAGGGCCAUGCAUGGAUCACUGAGACAAUGUGCAUGAUCUAUGAUAGCGUACAUGAAUUAUUUAUAAUCCAGUUUUAUGCAAUUGAAUUUUAUGAUAUUUUCUUAAGCAAUUAUCUCUGGGGGUUGGGAAUACAUGUACUUUUUAUUCUCUUGUGGCUUUUUAUUCUCUAAAUUUUCUGGAAAAACAAGCCCAAAAUUACAUAGAAUAAGAAUCAUAUCUGUAAAAAAAUACAUAACAGGGACUUAAAAGAAAGUGUUGACAUGUUAAUAAUAAUUGCCUCUGUGUAGUGAAAUUUCAUAUAGUUUUUUAUGUUUCCUUAGAGUUUUUUUAAUCCAAGUGUUAUAGAGUGAGAUUGUGUUAUUUUUUCUGUUACAAAAGUCACAUAUGCUUCUCAUAGGGUUAAAAGGGCAGUAGUAUGUAAAGAAAGAAAUAAAAAUACCCUUCUCCCAGGCAUGAUGAUUUAUUUGCUCUGAAUCUUACAAGAACUUUUUCUGUUUAUAUGCAUGUGUUCUUGUGUGUUUUAUAAUAUGAAUCAUGCUAUACCUACACCAGGUUCUCAAAUAAUGUUUCAUUCAAUCUUGUUUUGUUAAAAUUGAUGAGAAAAAUCGAUUCCUGGACAGGGCCACUCCAUGUGGUUUGCAUGUUCUCUCCAUGUCUGCGUGGAUUUUCUCCAGGGACUCCGGUGUCUUCCCACAUCCCCAAAUGUGCAUAUGACAUGAAGUGGUGUGUCUAUAUUGUCCCAGUCUGAGUGAGUAUAGAUGUGUGUGAGAGGCCCUGCCAUGGAAGGGCAUCCUGUCCAGGGUGGAUCCCGUCUUGUGUCCUGAGGAGAGGAUCCAGUCACCCAUGACCUUGAACUGGAAUAAAAAGAUGAAUUAUAGAAUUAACUCAUCAACUUCAGUAAAAAGAAAAAAAUCCCUGGAAGUGCCUCGGAAAUUUUGAGUCACCUAGCAAGAACUGGCAUUUGUACAAUAAAGGGUUUUGCAUUUAUCUUAUAUCCAGGCAUCAUUUUAAACUCUGUUCUUAGCUCUAUGUUUGUUCCCAGUUAAUUAUCUUUAAUUCCUAGUUGUACAAUCAUGUCAGUUGUAAAUAAGAAAACGUUUGUCUUUUCAUUUCUAAUGUUUGUUUCUAAUUUGGUUUUCCUUUUGACGCAUUGGUAAAGAUCUGUGACUUCCAGGAGAAUGCUGAUUUAUAUUGAUUAAUAAAGAUGAGGCCUCCUC